AUCCGUUUGAGUUUUGGGCUCUCUUAAUAAUCAAUCAUGCUCUUUUCAGAUUGUUGAGUCUAUUCGAUAUAUGCUUUAGAUUUUUGUAUAUUGAGUUUUUGCACGAAUUUGACUGUUAAUCGAUAUGUAUUUAUACUUGGUAAAUCUAAGUAGCGGUUUACUAGGCAAUUCUUUUCCCUCACGUUGGGGGAUGGUAAUUUUUUAGUUCAGAAUAAUUGCUUUGUAAUGUUGUUGAAAA
Molecule: unclassified non-coding RNA, 238 nt
Filed under: Hevea brasiliensis (rubber tree)
Lineage: Eukaryota; Viridiplantae; Streptophyta; Magnoliopsida; Malpighiales; Euphorbiaceae
Source: RNAcentral